GACGAACGCUGGCGGCGUGCUUAACACAUGCAAGUCGAACGGAAAGGCCCUGCUUUUGUGGGGUGCUCGAGUGGCGAACGGGUGAGUAACACGUGAGUAACCUGCCCUUGACUUUGGGAUAACUUCAGGAAACUGGGGCUAAUACCGGAUAGGAGCUCCUGCUGCAUGGUGGGGGUUGGAAAGUUUCGGCGGUUGGGGAUGGACUCGCGGCUUAUCAGCUUGUUGGUGGGGUAGUGGCUUACCAAGGCUUUGACGGGUAGCCGGCCUGAGAGGGUGACCGGCCACAUUGGGACUGGGAUACGGCCCAGACUCCUACGGGAGGCAGCAGUGGGGAAUAUUGCACAAUGGGCGGAAGCCUGAUGCAGCAACGCCGUGUGCGGGAUGACGGCCUUCGGGUUGUAAACCGCUUUCGCCUGUGACGAAGCGUGAGUGACGGUAAUGGGUAAAGAAGCACCGGCUAACUACGUG
RNAcentral lists this ribosomal RNA (468 nucleotides) under uncultured bacterium. Its description in RNAcentral is "partial 16S ribosomal RNA". It matches the Rfam family "Bacterial small subunit ribosomal RNA", at positions 28 to 507 of the family's 1533-position model. The record is from RNAcentral.